Molecule: ribosomal RNA, 467 nt
Filed under: uncultured bacterium
Lineage: Bacteria
Description: partial 16S ribosomal RNA
Rfam family: Bacterial small subunit ribosomal RNA
Source: RNAcentral
ACGAACGCUGGCGGCGUGCUUAACACAUGCAAGUCGAACGGAAAGGCCCUGCUUUUGUGGGGUGCUCGAGUGGCGAACGGGUGAGUAACACGUGAGUAACCUGCCCUUGACUUUGGGAUAACUUCAGGAAACUGGGGCUAAUACCGGAUAGGAGCUCCUGCUGCAUGGUGGGGGUUGGAAAGUUUCGGCGGUUGGGGAUGGACUCGCGGCUUAUCAGCUUGUUGGUGGGGUAGUGGCUUACCAAGGCUUUGACGGGUAGCCGGCCUGAGAGGGUGACCGGCCACAUUGGGACUGAGAUGACGCCCAGACUCCUACGGGAGGCAGCAGUGGGGAAUAUUGCACAAUGGGCGGAAGCCUGAUGCAGCAACGCCGCGUGCGGGAUGACGGCCUUCGGGUUGUAAACCGCUUUCGCCUGUGACGAAGCGUGAGUGACGGUAAUGGGUAAAGAAGCACCGGCUAACUACGUG